Molecule: ribosomal RNA, 402 nt
Filed under: uncultured bacterium
Lineage: Bacteria
Description: bacterial SSU rRNA
Rfam family: Bacterial small subunit ribosomal RNA
Source: RNAcentral
UGGGGAAUCUUGCACAAUGGGGGCAACCCUGAUGCAGCGACGCCGCGUGAGCGAUGAAGCCCUUCGGGGCGUAAAGCUCUUUCGACCGGAACGAUAAUGACGGUACCGGGAGAAGAAGCUGCGGCUAACUACGUGCCAGCAGCCGCGGUAAUACGUAGGCAGCAAGCGUUGUUCGGAGUUACUGGGCGUAAAGAGUGCGUAGGCGGUUUUCUAAGUUCGGCGUGAAAUCUCCCGGCUUAACUGGGAGGGUGCGCCGAAGACUGGGAAGCUGGAGUGUGGGAAAGGCAGGCGGAAUUCCUGGUGUAGCGGUGAAAUGCGUAGAUGUCAGGAGGAACACCGGCGGUGUAGACGGCUUGCUAGACCAUAACUGACGCUGAGGCACGAAAGCGUGGGUAGCAAACA